This 24-nucleotide non-coding RNA is filed under the name Arabidopsis thaliana (thale cress). The record is from RNAcentral. Lineage: Eukaryota; Viridiplantae; Streptophyta; Magnoliopsida; Brassicales; Brassicaceae.
AAAGAAGGUGACGAAUCGAUUUCA